This 593-nucleotide long non-coding RNA is filed under the name Prunus dulcis (almond). RNAcentral's name for it is "sRNA ncRNA". The record is from RNAcentral. Lineage: Eukaryota; Viridiplantae; Streptophyta; Magnoliopsida; Rosales; Rosaceae.
GCUAGAGAAAGACAAUUUGAAGACAACUUAGUCAAUAUUAUUAUAAAAUUACUUGAAACACAACUACAUAAAUAGCUAUUAAACUCCACUUGAACAAAUCAUAGCCCCAUUUACAGUCUUUGAACCCAAAACCAAAACUAUUUCUUUUACAUUACACAUAAAUUAUUCAUUAGACACCAUCUAAUUAACAGUGAGAUUCCACAACUUAGACUAAAACACAAAAGUUGAAAUAGAACUAGAAACCUCUCUGGCUCUCCCUAAAACUUAAUCAAUCCAAAAUCCAGAUGAUCUCAUGGAGAUCAGUAAUGAAACAUCUCUGCAGCAGAAGCCAUGAUGGGCUGGUUCAAAUAUGACAGAUUCAAUGGGUUGAAGAAGCUGUCAGUGGGCUCAUUGAAGCUGCUUGAAUCUCCAGCAGCAAAAACCCCAUUGCUUGCAUUCAAGAAACUCGCAAUCUCAUUCAGAGACUGCAGUCUGUUGCUAAGCUCAUCCGCUUGGGCUCUGAGAACAGAGUUCUCUGCCUCAAUGUUCAUGUAAUGCUGACUUGUGAUGUUCACGCUGGUGAUGAUCUGAUUGUUCUCCUUCUUCAGUUCAGC